RNAcentral lists this long non-coding RNA (990 nucleotides) under Scleropages formosus (Asian bonytongue). RNAcentral's name for it is "lncRNA (ENSSFOG00015029800.1)". The record is from RNAcentral. Lineage: Eukaryota; Metazoa; Chordata; Actinopteri; Osteoglossiformes; Osteoglossidae.
GUCGGUGUCUGGCAGGUACUGUGUAUUUUAGAGGACCUUGGAUCGGCAUGCACUCUGUGUUUUCAUUCAUACAUCUGGUAAUCAAAUUGGCAGGAAAUGAAAGCAGAGCCGGAGUUCGGGAGCCUGUCCCUCGCAGAGGAGCUGCUCCACUUGAGAGCGCGGGUUCAGGAGCUGGAGAGGGGGAAGGCUCAGAUGGAUGCUGAAAAUAGGCGGCUCAAAGAUCUACUAGUCAAUGAGAUCCCAUCGCUUCUUGCUGCCAUGAAGCAGAGCAUAUGCGGGAGCACCGCAGGAAGGGAGAUGAGCUCUGAGCUCGUGACGUCGCUUUCCCCUGGUGAUGCAUUUCCGCACUCGGUUCCAUCCGGCCGGUGCCACGUGGAUGGUGUUGGCCUCCUCCAGGAUAUCCCUUCCGGCACCGACUAUUCGGAUGGCGCAAGGUUCAUGCAGGCCGUGUCACGUGGCUCGGGAGGACUGGAUGGCAACGGUUUUGUCAUCGCCGAGGAGGACAGCGGCACGCUGUGUCCCGUCGUCAUCGGUGACGAGGACUGUCCCACGUGCCCCGGCUCGGCCUGCAGCUCGCCAGACUUUGUCCCGGUCAGGGAGAUGGAGCACCUGCAUGUGACGGGGCACGGUGGCAGCCACCUGCGCCAGGUGGAGGUGUAUCCGGGCUCCGGCGUGUUCUGUGACGCACGGGCCUGGCACUCGGCCAUCAAGGCCCACUCGCCCACGGCGAUGGCACGGAUGCUGCUGCUGGGCGUGUUCGACAUGGACACGCUGUUACAGAGCAACUUAAGGGGAGGACGAAGUCGGAGGCCCACCUUCCCCAACCACCGUACCGGUCUGGAUCCCCACAAGCUGGACGCCAUAUACAAUGCUACCUUGGCGAGGUUCCCGUUGGCCAGGAAGGGCCAGAUAGGCACCGGGAUCAACUCCAAGCUGUCAGAGAUCCGAUUCCGGUCGAGGAGAGCCAACCAGGAGAGGAGAUACUUGUGA